CCUACGGGAGGCAGCAGUGAGGAAUAUUGGUCAAUGGACGAGAGUCUGAACCAGCCAAGUAGCGUGAAGGAUGACUGCCCUCUGGGUUGUAAACUUCUUUUAUAUGGGAAUAAAAUGUUCCACGUGUGGGAUUUUGUAUGUACCAUAUGAAUAAGGAUCGGCUAACUCCGUGCCAGCAGCCGCGGUAAUACGGAGGAUCCGAGCAUUAUCCGGAUUUAUUGGGUUUAAAGGGAGCGUAGGUGGAUUGUUAAGUCAGUUGUGAAAGUUUGCGGCUCAACCGUAAAAUUGCAGUUGAAACUGGCAGUCUUGAGUACAGUAGAGGUGGGCGGAAUUCGUGGUGUAGCGGUGAAAUGCUUAGAUAUCACGAAGAACUCCGAUUGCGAAGGCAGUUCACUGGACUGCAACUGACACUGAGGCUCGAAAGUGUGGGUAUCAAACAGGAUUAGAUACCCUUGUAGUC
RNAcentral lists this ribosomal RNA (460 nucleotides) under uncultured bacterium. Its description in RNAcentral is "partial 16S ribosomal RNA". It matches the Rfam family "Bacterial small subunit ribosomal RNA", at positions 338 to 795 of the family's 1533-position model. The record is from RNAcentral.